CUGGCGGCGUGCCUAAUACAUGCAAGUCGAACGGUCUUUCUAUGGAAGCUUGCUUCCACUGAGAAGAUAGUGGCGAACGGGUGAGUAACACGUGGGUAACCUGCCCAUAAGAGGGGGAUAACAUCCGGAAACGGGUGCUAAUACCGCAUAGUUUUCUUGAUCGCAUGAUCGGGAAAGGAAAGACGGCCUUUGUGCUGUCGCUUAUGGAUGGACCCGCGGCGUAUUAGUUAGUUGGUGAGGUAACGGCUCACCAAGACGAUGAUACGUAGCCGACCUGAGAGGGUGAUCGGCCACAUUGGGACUGAGACACGGCCCAAACUCCUACGGGAGGCAGCAGUAGGGAAUCUUCCGCAAUGGACGAAAGUCUGACGGAGCAACGCCGCGUGAGUGAAAGAAGGUUUUUCGGAUCGUAAAACUCUGUUGUCAGAGAAGAACAAGUUGGAGAGUAACUGCUCCAGCCUUGACGGUAUCUGACCAGAAAGCCACGGCUAACUACGUGCCAGCCGCCGC
This 510-nucleotide ribosomal RNA is filed under the name uncultured bacterium. RNAcentral describes it as "bacterial SSU rRNA". It matches the Rfam family "Bacterial small subunit ribosomal RNA", at positions 36 to 518 of the family's 1533-position model. The record is from RNAcentral.